This 497-nucleotide ribosomal RNA is filed under the name uncultured bacterium. Its description in RNAcentral is "partial 16S ribosomal RNA". It matches the Rfam family "Bacterial small subunit ribosomal RNA", at positions 28 to 507 of the family's 1533-position model. The record is from RNAcentral.
GAUGAACGCUGGCGGCGUGCCUAAUACAUGCAAGUCGAGCGAACAGAUAAGGAGCUUGCUCCUCUGACGUUAGCGGCGGACGGGUGAGUAACACGUGGAUAACCUACCUAUAAGACUGGGAUAACUUCGGGAAACCGGAGCUAAUACCGGAUAACAUUUUGAACCGCAUGGUUCAAUAGUGAAAGGCGGCCUUGCUGUCACUUAUAGAUGGAUCCGCGCCGUAUUAGCUAGUUGGUAAGGUAACGGCUUACCAAGGCAACGAUACGUAGCCGACCUGAGAGGGUGAUCGGCCACACUGGAACUGAGACACGGUCCAGACUCCUACGGGAGGCAGCAGUAGGGAAUCUUCCGCAAUGGGCGAAAGCCUGACGGAGCAACGCCGCGUGAGUGAUGAAGGUCUUCGGAUCGUAAAACUCUGUUAUCAGGGAAGAACAUAUGUGUAAGUAACUGUGCACAUCUUGACGGUACCUGAUCAGAAAGCCACGGCUAACUACGUG